RNAcentral lists this transfer RNA (83 nucleotides) under Candidatus Zixiibacteriota bacterium. Its description in RNAcentral is "tRNA-Tyr". It matches the Rfam family "tRNA". Rfam says of the family: Transfer RNA (tRNA) molecules are approximately 80 nucleotides in length. Their secondary structure includes four short double-helical elements and three loops (D, anti-codon, and T loops). Lineage: Bacteria; Pseudomonadati; Candidatus Zixiibacteriota. The record is from RNAcentral.
GGAGGGGUGCCCGAGCGGCCAAAGGGAGCAGACUGUAAAUCUGCCGGCAGACGCCUUCGAAGGUUCGAAUCCUUCCCCCUCCA